This 419-nucleotide ribosomal RNA is filed under the name uncultured eukaryote. Its description in RNAcentral is "SSU rRNA". It matches the Rfam family "Eukaryotic small subunit ribosomal RNA", at positions 592 to 1017 of the family's 1831-position model. The record is from RNAcentral.
CAAUAGCGUAUAUUAAAAUUGUUGCGGUUAAAACGCUCGUAGUUGGAUAUCUGCCAAGGGGUUCCGGUCCUUCCCAGUGAAGAAAACACGGAACUCUUCUUGGCAUUUGUUCAGGGAAGGUGUUUGCACUUUAUUGUGUGUCACGUGAUCUGAAUUUUUACUUUGAGGAAAUGAGAGUGUUCCAAGCAGGCUUUUGCCGUGAAUAUGAUAGCAUGGAAUAAUAGCAUAGGACCCCUUUCCAAAGCUGUUGGUUUUUGGAACGAGGUAAUCAAAAUAAGGAUAGUUGGGGGUAUUCGUAUUUAACUGUCAGAGGUGAAAUUCUUGGAUUUUUUAAAGACGAACUAUUGCGAAGGCAUCUGCCCAGGAUGUUUUUGUUGAUCAAGAACGAAAGUUAGGGGAUCGAAGACGAUCAGAUACCA